CAUUCGCCACUCAACAAGUAUGUUUUGAGCAUCUCUUUAGAGUCAGAUACUUGAGAUGUAACAGUGACCAACACAGACACGGCCCCUGUGCUUGGAGUGUUUAUAUAUAAUAUGAGAGACAGACAAGUAACUCAAAUAUAGUACAACAUAACUAGUGCUAUUCAGGGUGUGCACCAUACACUAGCAGGGCACACAUCAGGGGCACAUAAACUGGACAUGGGGAAAGGAGUAAAGCAGGGAAAGCUCUGUGACAUCAUAGGGGUAGGGGUGGGGGGUCCAGGAUUCCUGAGAACAGGAACAGCUUAUGUACAGUUCCUGAAACAAGAGUACUACUGUGCUCCUCAGUACCACUGCUGGAAUGUGGAGCAUCAAAGCGCAGUUGAGGCAAGAGAGCACAUCAACCUGUGGGUUGAAGCCAGGUGUCAGCUAUGUGUUCUAGCAAAGGGCCAGAUGGUAAACAUUGUAGGCUCCAUGGUUCACGGGGUUCGAUGCAUCUACUCAGCUCUCCCCUUGUGGCAGAAAAGCAGCAUAGGCAGAUUUGGAGCCAAACAGAGGAAACUAAGGAAACCUUGUCUGCUGAGAUUGGCUUCCCUAGAGAAAGGCACCCAAGAAGACCUCAGGGGCCCUUUCGCAGUUCAUGCCUCCAGCACUUCACACAUGCUUACAAGGAAACCAGGAAGCCAGCGUGCAACAGCAUGCAUAGGCGUCAGUGCCUAGCGCUGAGGGGC
Molecule: long non-coding RNA, 728 nt
Filed under: Callithrix jacchus (white-tufted-ear marmoset)
Lineage: Eukaryota; Metazoa; Chordata; Mammalia; Primates; Cebidae
Description: lncRNA (ENSCJAG00000080237.1)
Source: RNAcentral